GCGCUCGUAGCUCAGCUGGAUAGAGCGGCGGUUUCCUAAACCGCAGGUCGUAGGUUCGAGUCCUAUCGGGCGCA
This 74-nucleotide transfer RNA is filed under the name Phycisphaerales bacterium. RNAcentral's name for it is "tRNA-Arg". It matches the Rfam family "tRNA". From Rfam's summary of the family: Transfer RNA (tRNA) molecules are approximately 80 nucleotides in length. The record is from RNAcentral. Lineage: Bacteria; Pseudomonadati; Planctomycetota; Phycisphaerae; Phycisphaerales.